RNAcentral lists this long non-coding RNA (997 nucleotides) under Homo sapiens (human). Its description in RNAcentral is "non-protein coding lnc-OR4N4-1:21". Lineage: Eukaryota; Metazoa; Chordata; Mammalia; Primates; Hominidae. The record is from RNAcentral.
UUAGUAGUUGGUCCCAGUCAGUAACACUCUGGGAGGGCUCAGGCCACAUCACGAAAUGUGACAGGAUAGCCUUGAACUCAUCAAUUGCUGGGUAAGAAAGAAUUUUAAUGCAAUGGCAAACAACCAAUCAAACAAGCAAACAAAAACAAUAAACCCUUCCUUGAGGACCAAGAAGACAUUGAUUAGCUAACCUAAGAGCUCCAGGUGGAGACCUAGGUCCUGAUUGGGUUUCUGAAUUUGACCACUAGGCAGAAAACUAGCACCCAAAACCAGUUGGAAUAAAAUUACCCACCUACAGUGGAGCCAAGGCCCCCAGAUCCUUUUUGUCAGGGGCACCUCAAACUCAACUCCAAAAUUGAUCUAAUGAACUUUCCCAAACCACAUUCCCUUCUUGCAUUUCUGAGAGAAUGGAUUCCCAUUCAUCUGACUACAGUGCUACCCUGAAAGCAGAUCCAGAGACUAAGAUUCACCUGCAGGUGAUUCAUUUGCAAGGUAAGCUGUCAUCAGUUGGAGGUAAGCGGAAGACAGUAGAGAGUACAGAGCCCUGGACUGUGACUCAGAGGAUGAGCACCAGAUCCAGUUUGCUGUGCCACAGUGUCCUGAAGAUUUUCCUCAGAUAAUCUUUCAUCUCUUUGUUCCUGAGACUAUAUAUUAGAGGAUUACAGAGUGGUGUUAUCACAGAAAAGAACAAGGUCACUUGAUAUUCUUGGCUUGAUGAAAAAAAACAAGAUUCUAACGUGACAGAACUUGUUCUUCUGGGCCUAUCAUCUUCUUGGGAGCUGCAGCUAUUUCUCUUAUUACUAUUUUUGUUUUUUUACAUUGCUAUUGUCCUGGGAAACCUCUUGAUAGUGGUAACAGUGCAAGCCCAUGCUCAUCUGCUCCAAUCUCCUAUGUAUUAUUUUUUAGGUCAUCUCUCUUUCAUUGACCUAUGCCUAAGCUGUGUUACUCUGCCAAAGAUGUUAGGGGAUUUCCUACAGCAGGGCAAGAGCAUCUCUUU